UACGUAGGGGGCAAGCGUUGUCCGGAAUCAUUGGGCGUAAAGCGCGUGUAGGCGGCUGAGUAAGUCUGCUCUGAAAGCUUGGGGCUCAACCCCAAGAGGCGGGUGGAUACUGCUCAGCUCGAGUCCGGAAGAGGAGUGUGGAAUUCCGUGGUGUAGCGGUGAAAUGCGCAGAUAUCGGGAAGAACACCCGUGGCGAAGGCGGCACUCUGGGGACGGUACUGACGCUGAGACGCGAAAGCGUGGGGAGCGAACAGGAU
Molecule: ribosomal RNA, 257 nt
Filed under: uncultured bacterium
Lineage: Bacteria
Description: partial 16S ribosomal RNA
Rfam family: Bacterial small subunit ribosomal RNA
Source: RNAcentral